CUUUUAUUUUCAUUUAACAGCAGCUAUUUCAUGUUCCAUAAGAUAAAGGAGCUGAGCAUUUGAAUAAAUUUAUCAGCAACAUGCAUAUCUUUAGCAUAUUCUAACUCAUGUGGUAUUGUUUAGUAUAUUGUGGGUACAAAACUACACAAACAUCAGUUUGACAGAUCAACAAAUGCACAAAUGAAUUAUUCAAUUCAAAGACAAAAGUCUCCAUGCGGCAAAACUAUGAGAUUCAUCCUCGGAUAAUUCGACAGAUUGUAAAAAUGCUUGUCAUGCGGAUUCCUUGUCGCCAUGUAAUUCUAAAGCAAUCCCUAAAAAGGUGUAGGCAUCAUUCGUAUUCCAAUUUGGUAUCAAAUAACUUUCUUCUAUAACAAGUUUUAGACCUUCUAAAGAAUCCUGACACUGUCUAACAUUAUUGAGGUGAUG
This 426-nucleotide long non-coding RNA is filed under the name Mytilus galloprovincialis (Mediterranean mussel). Lineage: Eukaryota; Metazoa; Mollusca; Bivalvia; Mytilida; Mytilidae. The record is from RNAcentral.